GAGGUCCCCGGGCGCGGCUGGGGCAGCGGGAGGCGCGGGAGGCCGAGGUCCGGGUGGCCGCCGCGGCCGCCCCCGAAGCGCUGCUGUCACCCCGGCCGCGCCCCCCAACUUUCUGCACAGUCGCGGAGCUGGAAGUUUCCGGGCUUCGCGGACACGCUGGGCUGGGUUUCAGUCGCGGCUCCGAGGUUGGCAACAAAGAGGGAAAGAAGGAGGAAAAGCAGGCCGGGGAGGGGAGGAAGAGAACCGCGCGGAGGCCGCGGCGCCGAGAGCCCCAGAACUUCCAAUUCUACCCAGAAGCUUUUUUCGUCGUGUUUUUCUCUUAGGUAAACAAGCAAGUUCCACGCCCCAGUCCUGCUGGGGCCUUCGCCAGCCACCGCUCUGGGCUCAUCUCCCGGCGCCUCCUCGGGGCACCUGAGCGUUUUAAGCCCCACUGCCAAGUGUUUUGGACACAGGUUUUUUUGCGGGGUGGUGAGGUUGGGCACAAGAUGCUUCCUAAAAGGUUGUUGGCACGCAGACCAUGGCCCCAGUGACGGAGCGGUAGGCAGGGGCUUGAGGAACACGCUGUCUUUGUCUCGUCCCCAAAGCACCCGGCCGUGGGUCACCCGUGAUCCCUGGAGUGGAGGGACUGUUGUGACCCCUGGUGCUCCAGGAGAAGGGGUUCCAUGCUGGGUCCCGGGCCCAGGCCCACGGUGCCCUCAGCCUGCAGUUCUCCACCUUGCGGAAUGAUUUGCUGGCCCGGCCCAGCUCCCCGGCACCACCAUUUUCUGCCCUCUUUUCCCUGCCUGGCUUCAAACCCUCCCAGGCAAGGGUCCCGAGGAGACACCUGGGCUGGGGGAGGCAACUGAGUGGCCCCAGGCCUGGGAAUCUGCAAAAGUGGCCAAGCCACAUCUCUCGAGACUGCAAGGGCCCUGGAGGCGCUGGGAGGCACAGAUCUGGCUGCCAGCUGGGCCUGAGGCCUCCCUUUGUCCGUCCUUCCUGUUCUUCCUCACCAGACAUGAUCCUCUCUGAGGUUGGUCCUGGGCUUCCAUACGUGAUUCAUGGAAGAGGUCUCAGCCCCAAGAGCCCCUGAGGGUACUGUCCACUCCCCCUGGAAACUUCCAGAACCUGACGUGGGG
RNAcentral lists this long non-coding RNA (1115 nucleotides) under Homo sapiens (human). Its description in RNAcentral is "HSALNT0406458". The record is from RNAcentral. Lineage: Eukaryota; Metazoa; Chordata; Mammalia; Primates; Hominidae.